Aedes albopictus (Asian tiger mosquito) is the source of this 58-nucleotide non-coding RNA. Lineage: Eukaryota; Metazoa; Arthropoda; Insecta; Diptera; Culicidae. The record is from Rfam.
UAGCCUAGUGGUUAAGGCAAUGGAUCGCCAAUCCGAAGCGCGCGGAUUCAAUUCCCGU